ACGGCCUGCCUCAUGGUCCAAUCACACGUGGAUUCGGAGAAACGGCUUAGUGCUGGUCAGAUGCCAGGGACUGUUAGCUGAAGCUGAGGGCCUCUCAAGCUCAGGUGCAGCAGGGCAGGCAGACCCGCGGGUGGGGCUGGCUACUGGACUGCUGAACCCCACCAAGUCCGCCAGCAGGCCCCUGACCAGCCUCAGGUGGGAACUGCUGGCGCAUUUUCCCAGGAACACGCCCCCCCCCCCCCCCCCCGCGACCCAGUGACCUUGCUUCGUCAAGGUGGGCACCUUCGUCAAGUUCUAAACGUGAUCUUGACCCAAUCUGCUUGGGACCUGAGGCUAAAGGGGAUGAGAAACUGGUCUUUUUUUCUGGAAUAUGAUGGAAGGAUUUAAAUGAGAGGGAAUCAGCAGAUGAGCCUGGCGGCAGGCCACAUGGAACUCGGCAUCCAAGGGGAGGGGGAGAAGCGCGGAACCAGGAAACGGCAGCACAGCCCAGGAUAAAAGUCCAAACUCUACAGUACCCUCUACCUAACUCAACAAAGCCCUGCCACCUCUCUGAGCUCCCUUCCCGUCCUCCCACUCCUCUGCCUCUUCCUCUCGUUGGCUCCUCUCACUCCCUCCCAGGCUGCCCUGGCUGCUUGCACGCACCAUGCUUUUGGCCACCUUAAGGCUUCUGCAAGUGUUCCAGCCACGUUGACUGUCUCCUGCUUCAGGUCUGGGAUCAAACGUCACCACGUCAUGGGUACUUCCUGCCCCCUACACCCUACAUCCUACCCAGCCAUGCCCUCGGUCAUCCUGUCACCCUGCCUUGUUUUAUUUUCCUAAUUUAGACUUAAACUGUCUUAUUUGUGUAUUGUAGUGUGUUGUCUCCCCAGUUAAAAAAAAAACACGACCACUAUCAAUAGAAAUCUUUGGUCUUACACUUCUGAGGAUCAGAGUCUACACUGGCUCUUGCCACACUAAAGCCAAGGGACCAGCAGCUUCCCUCCCUCUCGAACCCUCUGCUGUCUGACUUCCACUUCAGCAAUAUUCUUAAGUGCCAAGCCCUGUGGGAUUUUUCUAUUCCUUAUUCUUCUAGAUCAGUGGUUCUCAACUGGAGGCGAAUGUACCCCUGGGGGACAUUUGGCAAUACCUGGGGACACUUUUCUAGAGGCCAGGGAUGCUGUAAACACCCAGCAAUACGCAAGAGGGCCUCUGGAACGCAGAAGGACCUGGUCCCCGCUGUCCCGGGUGCCGUGGCCGAGCAGCUGUCCAGACCUCUCCGCUGUGCCGCCUUGGUUUCCGCCGCCGCCUCUGGCUCUGUCUUCCUCGGCUUUCUCUCCACUCGACUCUUCUGGUUCUCUCUCAGCUCUCCGACCCUGCUUCUCUCACAUCCACUGCUCUGUCCACCCUGAUGCUCUGCCCUUGGCCACCUGCUGCUUCUCUUCCCCCGGGGCUGUUCCACCUGCCCACUGCAACCACCACCUCAACACCCUGACUCCGACGCGGCCAGCUUUGCUGGCUCAUCACAUCUCCAGACAGGCAUGUCAACCACAAGCUGGAUUUCUCCACUGGGAUGUCACACUGUCACCCUGAGCCCAGCACUCCCCAAACUGGAAACCAUCAGCAUGCCUUCCCUCCGAAAACCUGCUUUCUUCACAAGCCUCUUCUGUCCAGUCCCAGCGACUGCAGACAUUUGGGACUCAUCGGCUCUACAGGCAACUACCCUGGGGAGUCUCUAACAUAGAAAGGAAGUCAUUCGCAGACUUUAAUACUGAUAGCCGUCAUGUGCAACCAAGUACCUGAAGCGAACCAGCUAAUCCCAGUAUCCCGAAGCCAGAGUCCCAGGCAACCAAGUCUACACCAACGACAGCUACAAAUAGUUCUUCGUGUGAUCCAAUUUAAUUUUUACCAAAAAGCUCAGAGAAAGGAGGAAAAGGACUAUUUGUUUCAGAAUCAAAAGAACAGACAUAAGUACUGCAGAGCUCUGUGGAAAAGCAGAGGAGGGCAGAAAUGGCCUUUAUGCUUCCUCAAAAAGCCACAGUGGUUUUGUAGUCAAGCACUUGUCUUGUUUUCGCCCAAAGUGGCAGCACCAACAUAUCCACUCAUCCAACUAUCCUGUGAUGGCUGUCGGUUGCUAGGCAACGGUAACAGCGAUAGCUUUCUGCCCACCCACAAUGCACAGCUUUCAUAAUUGUUCUCACUGGGUCUGCCAAUUCCUCCUAGGCACUGUCUUCUCAGCCAAGGCUGCCUCUUCAAGCUCUUCUUCUUGCUUGCCUGGUCCCUUGGUAAAAUUUAAACACUGUAUUUGUCAUUAUGUUUCAGUAAUUUCUGUAACAGGCUGCCCAUCAGACACAGGAUGAUUUCACAGUAGGCUCAAGAACUACAAAUAGCUUUCCAUACAAGCAACCAGAUAAAAGCCAGCUGAUGGAACAUUCUCAGAAGUUCAAGCUAAAGUGCUGGUUUUAAGUCUCUUUGAACACAGUCUUCUGGCUGAAUAUACUUGUCUUGAUUAUAUAGAAUGAUGACAACCAAGUGUUAACUUAACCCUACUCUCUCUAUGGAAAGUCUUUAGGUCACAUACACCGCCACAUGUUAUAGAAGCAAAACAGGGAAAGUCUCAAUAAGCUGUCUCAAGUCCCAAGAGGCCUAACGAAUGUGAGCUUGAUAACGACACGUGGCGGUUCGCAGCCAAUAAAAAUCAAGCCACUACCUAACACUUAAUCUGUCAUACAGUUGAAGAGGUAACUUCCACAUUUAUUUCCUAUCUUUCUCCUCUGAGCAUUCCCUAAGUGCGAUAAAGGCCCAGAUUGGAAAUGACUUCUCCAACACAUGAGUGGCAAGGCUAGUGAGCAGCAAUCCUGAAUGGGGACACGGAUCUUUGGGCCCCACCUCGGGGCUACUUCCUCCACAGGAUGCUGGCUGAUAGGCUAACACCAUCAUCUGAGGUACCCGAGCUGGAAAGUGUUCUGGGGUUAAAGCUAUUCAACCCAAGAAACUAAAACAAGUGUUUUGACGUUGAGGAGCAGGAAGGCUGGGGAACGGAAGUAGAAAGACUGACCUGCUCUGGUACCCUUGUCCCAUGAUGCGUGGACAUGAUGACAUGCCAAAGAGUGAAGGGCUCUGAAUCAAAUACUCAUGGGUCCCUAACCAUAAGCUGUGAACAGGGUGGGAUGCUGAGGAUCAAGAGGAGGAAGACCUGGCAUCUGCUUUCAAGCAGCUCGUGAUAUAUUAAGGCAAAAGUGGGGCCCCAAGAACCGACAAGGAUGCUGUGAAAGGGCCAGGUAAACGGGCUAUGAAAACACAAAGGAAAAACAAUGAAUCAUGUCUGCUGAGCUAGAGAAAGUUUUAAAUAGGAAGAUUUGAGAUUAACCUUAAGAAUAAGCUUAAGGGGUCUGGACAGUACAGAAAGGAGACUUUAAACGGGAGCAGCAGUCCAAAGAUGAACAGUGGUUAGAGGGAGAGGGUACCACCCACUCAUGCAAAAUUUCCCGAGCCACUGCAGAUCAGGUACUGCACUAGGCACUUUGUGUAUUGUCUGAAAAAGAUGCUACACAAAAUUUCUAAGUGUUAGGAAGAGCACUUUGGUUGGAAAAAAAAAAAGUGUGGGAAUUACGAACUCAUUUUCUCUUAGAACAAAACCUUCCAGUGUAGAUAAGAAACUUGAUUAAAAAUGGUUUCAGUGGAGAUUGAGUGCAGAUUUUGGUGAUGUGGCAACUCUCUACUAAGACAUAACUCAGGGUCUAUGAAAGAUGUUUUCAGUUAGACCCUCAAUCACAGCACAUUACGAAAGAGAGGAAAUAAAAACGAUGUGAUUUUGUGUCGUUAAAAGGAUCCAUAAAACAGAAGAUGACAGCUAUAUUAAGGCUAGUAUUUUUCUAAAUUUCAGUCCCUAAUCUUCAAGCCAGUUGCCACGUUUGUGAAAUGUCAGGUGGGUAAAACCAAGUCCCUAGGGCUAGGAAGCCGGCAUGGGUCCUGGGUAGAGAAAUGACCAGUGACCAUCAUGCUCAUGCUAUGGGAAAGAUGCCAAGUAUACUUCUGAAGUCAUGAGGUUUUAUUUUGUUCUGUUUUUGAAAUUAGAUCGUUUAGGAUCCUACUUAUUUUUUAUCA
Long non-coding RNA from Phacochoerus africanus (Common warthog), 4083 nucleotides. RefSeq lists it as uncharacterized. The record is from RefSeq and is a predicted model, not a curated record. The transcript is spliced from 3 exons. NCBI's taxonomy places the organism in Eukaryota, Metazoa, Chordata, Mammalia, Artiodactyla, Suidae.